GGCUGGUGCAGUCCUGGAGACCCACGGAGCUCACGGUCGUCAGGGGUCCUCAAGGAUUCAGAGAACCCCCAAAUGUCAGGGCUGCUCCCUUCUUGUCCUGCCUCUCUGCUCACACCCUUGGACAGGUAAGAAAACUGAGGUCCACAGAGGGCAGGGUGCAUUGCUGUGGCUUUUGUUCUGAGCACUGUCUCCCCAGCUUUGGGGUUGAGACUCUGGGGUCAAGACCCACCUCUGAUGAACGAGCGGCUUCCUUCUUUGUAAAAAUUGAGGCGACCCAGACCAAGAAGGGCUGCAAAAUCACCAAGCCAGGACCUCAAUACCCAAGGGGCUGGGGUUUCGGCCACCCUGUGGCAGAGCUUUUAGAAGCCAGGGCCCUUGGCUCGGCAGUGCUGGCUCAUAGUAGGUGCUUAGUUCAUGCCUGUCUCCUUGGAUGAAAUCUGACCAUAGACACCAGUGCAAAGCAGGUGUUCAACACAGGAGGGUGUACUGAACCCGAUCUCUCUAUCACCAGGAGGAAGCACACGGGAGGCACUCAGAGAACGUUUGUGGAAUGAAUAAAUAAAAGCAUAUUUUGAGGGAAUAAAGAAGCAGAAAAACAAAGAAGAAUCUGGGGAAGAUGGGCAUAAAUCUCCACCAAGUGCUGCCAAGGCUUCCCAGGCGAGGCUGCUGAAAAGACCCUGUGGAGGGGAGCGGCAGGACCUGCCAAGGCCUGGGGGAGCCCGCCAGCCUGCUGAGUUCUACUGUACAAACAGUUGGGGAGGGGGCGCUGUCUCUGUUAACUUGAAAUUCCCCGAUCAGUAAACAUGCCAAUUUAAAGUGUAAUUAACUCAGGCCGGAAAAAAUUCAGAUUUGGACUGCUUUUCACAGUUGAGGUUGUUUUUCUUUUAUUUAUUUAUCUCUUUCCGGGUG
This 909-nucleotide long non-coding RNA is filed under the name Homo sapiens (human). RNAcentral's name for it is "maternally expressed 9". The record is from RNAcentral. Lineage: Eukaryota; Metazoa; Chordata; Mammalia; Primates; Hominidae.